GACGAACGCUGGCGGCGUGCUUAACACAUGCAAGUCGAACGGAAAGGCCCUGCUUUUGUGGGGUGCUCGAGUGGCGAACGGGUGAGUAACACGUGAGUAACCUGCCCUUGACUUUGGGAUAACUUCAGGAAACUGGGGCUAAUACCGGAUAGGAGCUCCUGCUGCAUGGUGGGGGUUGGAAAGUUUCGGCGGUUGGGGAUGGACUCGCGGCUUAUCAGCUUGUUGGUGGGGUAGUGGCUUACCAAGGCUUUGACGGGUAGCCGGCCUGAGAGGGUGACCGGCCACAUUGGGACUGAGAUGCGGCCCAGACUCCUACGGGAGGCAGCAGUGGGGAAUAUUGCACAAUGGGCGGAAGCCUGAUGCAGCAACGCCGCGUGCGGGAUGACGGCCUUCGGGUUGUAAACCGCUUUCGCCUGUGACGAAGCGUGAGUGACGGUAAUGGGUAAAGAAGCACCGGCUAACUACG
Molecule: ribosomal RNA, 466 nt
Filed under: uncultured bacterium
Lineage: Bacteria
Description: partial 16S ribosomal RNA
Rfam family: Bacterial small subunit ribosomal RNA
Source: RNAcentral